CCAGCACCCAACUUUACCACCCUCCCCCACCUCUCCCCCGAAACUCCAGCAACAAAGAAAAGUAGUCGGAGAAGGAGCGGCGACUCAGGGUCGCCCGCCCCUCCUCACCGAGGAAGGCCGGAGAACGCCCAUAUAAAUGUGAACUUUGUCCUUACUCAAGUUCUCAGAAGACUCAUCUAACUAGACAUAUGCGUACUCAUUCAGAGCGUCUGCCCUGUCCAAGGAGGUGAUAUGCACAGGGAGGAUGUUGGAAGCCACGACUGUAAACCAAGCUGACUGAUUUCCCU
This 287-nucleotide small RNA is filed under the name Homo sapiens (human). RNAcentral's name for it is "RE1-silencing transcription factor variant E1a/E3/E5 non-coding RNA". Lineage: Eukaryota; Metazoa; Chordata; Mammalia; Primates; Hominidae. The record is from RNAcentral.